AUACGUAGGGUGCGAGCGUUGUCCGGAAUUACUGGGCGUAAAGAGCUCGUAGGUGGUUUGUCGCGUCGUCUGUGAAAUUCCGGGGCUUAACUCCGGGCGUGCAGGCGAUACGGGCAUAACUUGAGCACUGUAGGGGAGACUGGAAUUCCUGGUGUAGCGGUGAAAUGCGCAGAUAUCAGGAGGAACACCGGUGGCGAAGGCGGGUCUCUGGGCAGUAACUGACGCUGAGGAGCGAAAGCAUGGGUAGCGAACAGGAUUAGAUACCCUGGUAGUCCAUGCUGUAAACGGUGGGCGCUAGGUGUAGGGGUCUUCCACGACUUCUGUGCCGUAGCUAACGCAUUAAGCGCCCCGCCUGGGGAGUACGGCCGCAAGGCUAAAACUCAAAGGAAUUGACGGGG
This 398-nucleotide ribosomal RNA is filed under the name uncultured bacterium. Its description in RNAcentral is "partial 16S ribosomal RNA". It matches the Rfam family "Bacterial small subunit ribosomal RNA", at positions 523 to 918 of the family's 1533-position model. The record is from RNAcentral.